GAUGAACGCUGGCGGUGUGCCUAAGGCAUGCAAGUCGAACGAGAUCCCUGCUUCGGCAGGGUGACAGUGGCAGACGGGUGAGUAAUGCGUAGGAAUCUACCCUGAAGUGGGGAAUAGCCC
Molecule: ribosomal RNA, 120 nt
Filed under: uncultured bacterium
Lineage: Bacteria
Description: partial 16S ribosomal RNA
Rfam family: Bacterial small subunit ribosomal RNA
Source: RNAcentral